This 341-nucleotide ribosomal RNA is filed under the name uncultured bacterium. RNAcentral's name for it is "bacterial SSU rRNA". It matches the Rfam family "Bacterial small subunit ribosomal RNA", at positions 8 to 350 of the family's 1533-position model. The record is from RNAcentral.
AGAGUUUGAUCCUGGCUCAGAUUGAACGCUGGCGGCAUGCUUUACACAUGCAAGUCGAACGGCAGCAUGGGGGCAACCCUGAUGGCGAGUGGCGAACGGGUGAGUAAUAUAUCGGAACGUACCCGAGAGUGGGGGACAACCAGUCGAAAGAUUGGCUAAUACCGCAUACGAUCUACGGAUGAAAGUGGGGGACCUUCGGGCCUCACGCUCCUGGAGCGGCCGAUAGCUGGAUUAGCUAGUUGGUGGGUAAAGGCCUACCAAGGCGAUGAUCAGUAGCUGGUCUGAGAGGACGAUCAGCCACACUGGGACUGAGACACGGCCCAGACUCCGUACGGGAGGCA